GAUGAACGCUGGCGGCGUGCCUAAUACAUGCAAGUCGAGCGAAUGGAUUAAGAGCUUGCCCUUAUGAAGUUAGCGGCGGACGGGUGAGUAACACGUGAGUAACCUGCCCAUAAGACUGGGAUAACUCCGGGAAACCGGGGCUAAUACCGGAUAACAUUUUGAACCGCAUGGUUCGAAAUUGAAAGGCGACUUCGGCUGUCACUUAUGGAUGGACCCGCGUCGCAUUAGCUAGUUGGUGAGGUAACGGCUCACCAAGGCAACGAUGCGUAGCCGACCUGAGAGGGUGAUCGGCCACACUGGGACUGAGACACGGCCCAGACUCCUACGGGAGGCAGCAGUAGGGAAUCUUCCGCAAUGGACGAAAGUCUGACGGAGCAACGCCGCGUGAGUGAUGAAGGCUUUCGGGUCGUAAAACUCUGUUGUUAGGGAAGAACAAGUGCUAGUUGAAUAAGCUGGCACCUUGGCGGUACCUAACCAGAAAGCCACGGCUAACUACGUGCCAGCCGCCGCGGUAA
This 515-nucleotide ribosomal RNA is filed under the name uncultured bacterium. RNAcentral describes it as "partial 16S ribosomal RNA". It matches the Rfam family "Bacterial small subunit ribosomal RNA", at positions 28 to 523 of the family's 1533-position model. The record is from RNAcentral.